Molecule: ribosomal RNA, 677 nt
Filed under: uncultured Zoogloea sp.
Lineage: Bacteria; Pseudomonadati; Pseudomonadota; Betaproteobacteria; Rhodocyclales; Zoogloeaceae
Description: bacterial SSU rRNA
Rfam family: Bacterial small subunit ribosomal RNA
Source: RNAcentral
AGUGGCGAACGGGUGAGUAAUGCAUCGGAACGUACCGUGUAGUGGGGGAUAACGUAGCGAAAGUUACGCUAAUACCGCAUACGCCCUGAGGGGGAAGGUGGGGGACCGCAAGGCCUCACGCUAUAUGAGCGGCCGAUGUCGGAUUAGCUAGUUGGUAGGGUAAAGGCCUACCAAGGCGACGAUCCGUAGCGGGUCUGAGAGGAUGAUCCGCCACACUGGGACUGAGACACGGCCCACACUCCUACGGGAGGCAGCAGUGGGGAAUUUUGGACAAUGGGCGCAAGCCUGAUCCAGCCAUGCCGCGUGAGUGAAGAAGGCCUUCGGGUUGUAAAGCUCUUUCAGACGGAAAGAAAUCUCUCGGGAUAACACCCUGGGAGGAUGACGGUACCGUAAGAAGAAGCACCGGCUAACUACGUGCCAGCAGCCGCGGUAAUACGUAGGGUGCGAGCGUUAAUCGGAAUUACUGGGCGUAAAGCGUGCGCAGGCGGUGAUGUAAGACAGAUGUGAAAUCCCCGGGCUCAACCUGGGAACUGCAUUAGUGACUGCAUAGCUGGAGUACGGCAGAGGGGGGAUGGAAUUUCCGCGUGUAGCAGUGAAAUGCGUAUAUAUGCGGAGGAGCACCGAUGGCGAAGGCUACUCCCCUGGGCCUGUACUGACGCUCAUGCACGAGAGCGUGG